GAUCCUGGCUUAGGACGAACGCUGGCGGCGUGCCUAAUACAUGCAAGUCGAACGGUCUUUUCUAUGGAAGCUUGCUUCCACUGAGAAGAUAGUGGCGAACGGGUGAGUAACACGUGGGUAACCUGCCCAUAAGAGGGGGGAUAACAUCCGGAAACGGGUGCUAAUACCGCAUAGUUUUCUUGAUCGCAUGAUCGGGAAAGGAAAGACGGCCUUUGUGCUGUCGCUUAUGGAUGGACCCGCGGCGUAUUAGUUAGUUGGUGAGGUAACGGCUCGCCAAGACGAUGAUACGUAGCCGACCUGAGAGGGUGAUCGGCCACAUUGGGACUGAGACACGGCCCAAACUCCUACGGGAGGCAGCAGUAGGGAAUCUUCCGCAAUGGACGAAAGUCUGACGGAGCAACGCCGCGUGAGUGAAAGAAGGUUUUCGGAUCGUAAAACUCUGUUGUCAGAGAAGAACAAGUUGGAGAGUAACUGCUCCAGCCUUGACGGUAUCUGACCAGAAAGCCACGGCUAACUACGUGCCAGCCGCCGC
RNAcentral lists this ribosomal RNA (532 nucleotides) under uncultured bacterium. RNAcentral describes it as "bacterial SSU rRNA". It matches the Rfam family "Bacterial small subunit ribosomal RNA", at positions 15 to 518 of the family's 1533-position model. The record is from RNAcentral.